This 618-nucleotide long non-coding RNA is filed under the name Coffea arabica (coffee). RNAcentral's name for it is "long non-coding RNA (CARA_LNC003799)". The record is from RNAcentral. Lineage: Eukaryota; Viridiplantae; Streptophyta; Magnoliopsida; Gentianales; Rubiaceae.
CGCCACCGAUUCCGGUGCCGGUCUUCUUUUUCUUUUUUUUUUUUUGCUUUUCCCCUCUCCCCCUCUUCCUCCCCAGCCAUCCUCCCCUCUGUCUUUUUUUUUUUUCUCCCUGCGUCUCCCCCACCAACCUUCCCCUUCCCCUCUGGCGGAUCUGGUCGCGAGAGAAUCAUUUCAUUGGUUUUUGCCCCAGAAAAUCACACUUGCAGGCCGCUGUGUUUGUUUCUCUGCCACCUACCAACUUAAAAAAUCUGACCAAGAAGAUACGGCAGAGGUCCUCUUAAGUAGUUUGCACUUAAAACUUUGCAGAAAAAUUGGUCGUCCUUGCACUUGGGAAAUCUUCAUCGAAUCCUCCUUCUGCUCGUCUCAAUCAACCACAGUGGCUGUGGUGCACCACCACCACGCAGCUCUUUCCCCAUCUUGAAUGUUCAGGCGACACACUAAAACCUCGCAACAGGGUAAUUCGCAUUUAGCAUCAAUCAUGCAAGUAUAUAAGAACCUUGCAAGGAGUUAGGGGGAGAAGGAAAAUUGCCAAAAAAAAAAAUCAUUUCGCUGCUUUAUCUGCCGGCAAAAGCAAGGAGAGGAGAGGGGAGGAGAGGGAGAGGGAAAAUGUGAAAAAAA